CCAACAAUUGCUCAAAAAGCUGAUUUCACUUUCUUCUCUUCUUCACCUGCCAAAAAAAAAAAAAAAAAAAAAAAAAUCAAACAAACCCACAACAAAAAUAUAAAAGAAAACCUAAAAUUUUCAUUUUUCUGAAAAUCCCAGACUUUUCCAGAACUUUUAAUUUCUCUGUGAAAACCCUUUUGGAUUUAGUUGCUAGUGAACCGGAAAACAAUGUGUGGAGGUGCUAUAAUCUCCGAUUUCAUCUCGGGGCCUCGGUCGCAGCGGCUCACUUCCGACUACCUGUGGCGCGAUCUCAACAAACCCAGAUGUGGGAAGCGAUUCUCGAAGCCUCUGAGGUCGGAAGUGAUCGAUGUCAAUGAAGAUUUCGAGGCCGAUUUCCAGAAUUUCAAGGAUGAUUCGGAUGUUGAAGAGGAUGACGAUGUAAUUGAUGUCAAGCCUUUCACUUUCUCUGCUGCUCGCAGUCCUACCCUUUCACGUGGCUCUACAAAUGUGAAGUCUGUGGAAUUCAGCGGGCAAGCUGAAAAAUCUGCAAAGAGAAAGAGGAAGAACCAGUACAGGGGAAUCCGUCAGCGGCCAUGGGGCAAGUGGGCUGCAGAGAUCCGAGACCCAAGGAAAGGGGUUCGUGUUUGGCUUGGAACAUUCAAUACUGCAGAAGAAGCUGCAAGAGCCUAUGAUGCUGAGGCACGGAGAAUCCGUGGCAAGAAAGCUAAGGUGAACUUUCCGGAUGAAACUCCUCGUGCUUCACCAAAGCAUUCAGUUAAGGCAAAUCCUCAGAAAUCAAUGUCCAAUGCAUGUUCAAACUCUGUGCAGUCAAGCUUGAACCAGAAUUUCAGUUUUGUGAAUAACCAGGAUCAGGACUACUACAAUACUAUGGGUUUUCUGGAGGAGAAGCCUCCAACUAAUCAAUAUGCAUCUGUAAACUCCAUCCCUCCUAAUGGAAAUAUUGGAGUCGCAUCCAAUACUGCGCCAGCAUAUUUUAGUUCUGACCAGGGAAGCAAUUCCUUUGAGUAUUCAGACUUUGGUUGGGGAGAGCAGAGCAAGACUCCUGAAAUUUCAUCUGUUCUUUCAGCUACUUUAGAAAGUGAUGAAUCUCUGUUUCUUGAGGAUGCGAACCCCAAAAAGAAGUUGAAGUCUGACUCGGAGAAUGCGAUGCCCACUGAAGAAAACAAUGCUAACACACUGUCAGAGGAGCUGUCAGCUUUUGAGUCUCAGAUGAAGUUCCUGCAGAUGCCAUAUCUUGAGGGUAGCAACUGGGAUGCUUCCAUGGAUGCUUUCCUCAAUGGAGAUGCAACACAGGAUGGUGGAAAUCCAGUGGAUCUUUGGAGUUUUGAUGACUUCCCCUCCAUGGUUGGAGCAGUAUUCUGAGCAAGAACCUAUUACCUCAAGUUGCUAGUUUAUGUAAAUAAGGCUACAUGUUAGAAUGGUUCCCUGAAGAUGGAGUACAAACAGUUGGCCUUUGUAUGGAGAAUGAUUUGAGGUAGCUUGUGUAUGGGGAGGAGUAUAUAGAUAUUAGGUUUGCUUACCUUUAAGACAUUGAAUUUGGAUUGCUGAAUUUGGUUUUUUUUGUAUUUGAUAACUAUCUAUGAUCUGUGAUGAAAUAUUGAAAACUGAUGAUUGUCAGAUUUGGUA
Ziziphus jujuba (common jujube) is the source of this 1629-nucleotide RNA transcript. It is a transcript of the gene named ethylene-responsive transcription factor RAP2-12, with no coding region annotated. The record is from RefSeq and is a predicted model, not a curated record. The transcript has 3 exons. NCBI's taxonomy places the organism in Eukaryota, Viridiplantae, Streptophyta, Magnoliopsida, Rosales, Rhamnaceae.